GUGGGGAAUAUUGCACAAUGGGCGAAAGCCUGAUGCAGCAACGCCGCGUGAGGGACGACGGCCUUCGGGUUGUAAACCUCUUUUAGUAGGGAAGAAGCGAAAGUGACGGUACCUGCAGAAAAAGCACCGGCUAACUACGUGCCAGCAGCCGCGGUAAUACGUAGGGUGCAAGCGUUAUCCGGAAUUAUUGGGCGUAAAGAGCUCGUAGGCGGUCUGUCGCGUCUGCUGUGAAAACUGGAGGCUCAACCUCCAGCCUGCAGUGGGUACGGGCAGAAUAGAGGGCGGUAGGGGAGAGUGGAAUUCCUGGUGUAGCGGUGGAAUGCGCAGAUAUCAGGAGGAACACCGAUGGCGAAGGCAGAUCUCUGGGCCGUAACUGACGCUGAGGAGCGAAAGCGUGGGGAGCGAACAGGAUUAGAAACCCCGGUAGUCC
This 430-nucleotide ribosomal RNA is filed under the name uncultured bacterium. Its description in RNAcentral is "partial 16S ribosomal RNA". It matches the Rfam family "Bacterial small subunit ribosomal RNA", at positions 354 to 796 of the family's 1533-position model. The record is from RNAcentral.